Molecule: long non-coding RNA, 855 nt
Filed under: Fukomys damarensis (Damara mole-rat)
Lineage: Eukaryota; Metazoa; Chordata; Mammalia; Rodentia; Bathyergidae
Description: lncRNA (ENSFDAG00000023241.1)
Source: RNAcentral
UGUAUGUGUGUGUGUAUGUGUGUGUAUGUGUGUGGUACCAGGGAUCGAACUCAGACCCCUGUGCUUACAAGGCAGGCAGCAGAGCCACUGAGCCAAAUCCCCAGCCCUAAUUUUAUUUCUGUAAUUUUAUUUUAUUAGUCCGUGUUUGCAGUACAUAACGUUUAUAUUCCUUGUGUUCAGUGGGUGUGUGUGCACGACACAUCUUCAUUCCCUUCUCAACCCUUUCCCUCCUUUCCCUCACCUCUUCCUCCCUCUCCUGGUCCCCUUCCCAUUUGAGAAAGACCUCUCUCCCUACUUCCUAUCAUCUCUUAUUUUGGUCUUUGUAGGUGGGGUUUCGCAUACAAGAGAAACCAUGUGACAUUUAAGUUGUGUGUCUGCUUUAUUUCACUUUACAUUUUGCUUGCAAGGUGCAUUUAUUUUCCUAUAUGGCAGAGCAGUGCUCCCUGGCAUGUAAACACCACAUUUUCUCUCUCUCUCUUUUUUUUUUGCAGUACUGGGGAUCAAACUCAGGACCUUCCAGGAAGGGAUGGGCGGGGCUUCUCCCUGCGUCCUGGCGCUCUUGCUGCUCUCCGGGAGAGGGAGCGCCUGCUUUCCUGAGAAGUGUGAGCUGAGUACAGAGAUGCCAAUGGCAGGAGGCGUCAGGAGGACCCUUCUCCACCCUGCACUGCUGCCUUGGGUCGGGCCCCCAGAUUCUCCAGGGCACAUGGUGGCCACGAGAGAGGGAGACAUGCUGGUCUUCCUGGUGGACCUGCGGAUCACCCAAGGGCAGUUCCCAAAGAUGGAGCAUGGACGUGGGCAGGCCAAGUACCACGGAGACGACGCACAGUCACACUAGGCUGCUGUCAUGGGCAGGCG